Vicia villosa (hairy vetch) is the source of this 1806-nucleotide long non-coding RNA. RefSeq lists it as uncharacterized. The record is from RefSeq and is a predicted model, not a curated record. The transcript has 5 exons. NCBI's taxonomy places the organism in Eukaryota, Viridiplantae, Streptophyta, Magnoliopsida, Fabales, Fabaceae.
UUUUCCCUCUUUCCCUCAUUUCAAAAUCGUUCUCUCCUUCUCUCUGCUCUCUUUUUCUUGAAACCCUAAAUCUUUAGCCGAGUCACCUCUCAUCUCCAAGGCGGAACGCUCACCCCACCUCACAACUUCACCACUAAAAUGCAACGAUACCUUUUUCAAACUUGUCACCGCCACCGGAUCUGCAACAAUCUGCAACAAUCACCUCGCCAAACAUCCGAAUUUAAUAGGGUAGAAUUUCUCAAGUAUGGUGUAACGCCAACAAUUGGUGGUUUGAUGGAAUAGUAAGUAUUGACAUUGAGUUUGUUUGAUAGUCAAGUUUUGGUUAUAUUUUGGAUUGUACUUAAUGCAGGUCUAAGAUUUGACGAAGCUACUUGGCCUUCUUUAUCAGCUGAUGCAAAAAUGAUUUUUCUGUAAAAAGGCUGCUGAAUAGAGAUUUUUGUAAAAGAUUAACUGCAUCUCAGGCUCUCAUUUUGUGUUCUCUUUUCUGUUGGUUGUCGUGGUAUUAAAAUUUCUCAUCUCAUAAUUCGAUGAACUUUCUAGAUUAUAACUUGAUUUUAUGCUUAGGUCAUCCAUGGAAUACAUUACAAUAAUGCAUAUGCAAUAUCUGUCCAAAAAAAUGGCCUCAAUAUAAAUGUUAGAAAACUAACCAAAGAUAUCACUAGCAUAUGUACUGAGACACGCAUACUACGAUAUUGCUUUCGGUGUUUCCUAACAAAUUCUAGCUCUUUUUAAGAACACCAAUCUAUCAAAGCCCGUGCAUAAUGUGUGAAACUGGUAAGUUACUAGCAUAAUAUUGCACUAGCAUACAUCACACUAAUUCUCAAGCUCCUGGAAGUAGAGAUCAUCACUAAAUUAAUUUCUAUAACAGUCAAUUGAUAGGCUUUCUUUAGUUCAUGGAGUUCUUGAAGUUGUAGACAUUGGCUACACUAGGAAGGUUGCUGCAAUUUCUGUUUGCAAAUGAAAAGAUACGAGUUGAUUCUCUAUGGAGAUGAAUUCUACAACGGGAACAAGACUUUCGUAUAUGGUGUUCUUUACUGUUAUGAAGUUGAGAAACUGGAAUGGAAACUGAUUUCGAGUCCUAAUAUGUCAUCCUCCCCGCAGUGCGCAUUAGGCUGUUGCUUGGAAGAAUUAUGUUUAUAUUUUUUGGUGGUGAAUUUACAUCUCCAAAUCAAGAGAGGUUCCAUCACUACAAGGUUAAAGCUGCACUGCGUUGCUUCUGUUUGUGAUUAAGGAAAGUAUGAUUUCCUUUACUAAUUUUGACUGUUUGGAGAUGUUGCUUUUGAAUUUUGAUUGCCAUGUGCUUAGGCCAUGCAGCCACAAUAAGGCUGAUGUUCUGGAAAGGGGAAGCUGAACAAUGUGUGUGCAAUAUCCUUUACCCAUAUUUGGACUAUGUCUAUUUAUUGAUAAAAGUUGACCUCAAAUUGGAGCAGUGUUGCCCAUAGCGGGGAGCCAAAAUCCUGACAUACCGAACGCUUUGCGAUGCCGAUAUAGCGGAUUAUGGUGGACAAACUCGCAAUAUCGUCCAAUAUUUACCAUUGGGGUAAGCUCAAAAACCGCUACGUAAAGACUCCAUAUUGCCGCAAUUGCGGAUAUUUGAUAACACUUAAUUGGAGGGUCUUUUGCAAGGCCUCACCUGUUGGAAUGUAGGAUCACUGUCAAGACAUGUGAUAACUCUCAAUGUUCUGCAUGAUAACUAUUAAAUUUAUGUAAUAAUAGCUCUAUUAAUUUUAGGUCUAUAGCCAUUGUAUAAUAUGUUUUAAGUGAGUUAUGUCAAUGAGUAUUUUAUGUGGGAAUGCAAUAAAGAUA